Molecule: small nucleolar RNA, 137 nt
Organism: Cavia aperea (Brazilian guinea pig)
Lineage: Eukaryota; Metazoa; Chordata; Mammalia; Rodentia; Caviidae
Source: Ensembl
CUGGCCCUGAAUUAAAGCCGGAAGCUUCCUGACACUGUUGGUUUCAAGCAGGAGCCUAAAGAGAUGUCUUUCUAUGGUCUGUUAUCUAUUUCAGAACUUGAGCCAGGAAAUGGUCAAUCCAUUAGAAAGAAGCAGCU